GGACGAACGCUGGCGGUGUGCUUAACACAUGCAAGUGGUGCGACGAACCAGAGCUUGCUCUGGGGCAAAGCCGCGAACGGGUGAGUAACACGUGGGUAAUCUACCCCGAUGACCGGGACAACCCGAGGAAACUCGGGCUAAUACCGGAUGUGGUACGGAGACAUAAGUCUCUUUACUAAAAGUAGCUUCGGCUUCCGCAUUGGGAGGGGCCCGCGGCCCAUUAGCUAGUUGUGGGGUCAAGGCCUACCAAGGCAACGAUGGGUAGCUGGUCUGAGAGGACGAUCAGCCACACUGGGACUGAGACACGGCCCAGACUCCUACGGGAGGCAGCAGUGGGGAAUCUUGCGCAAUGCGCGAAAGCGUGACGCAGCAACACCGCGUGAGGGAAGACGGCCUUAGGGUUGUAAACCUCUUUCAGAUGGGACGAAGGUGAUGCGGUGAAUAGCCGAUGUCAUUGACGGUACCGUCAGAAGUAGCUCCGGCUAACUACGUG
This 493-nucleotide ribosomal RNA is filed under the name uncultured bacterium. RNAcentral describes it as "bacterial SSU rRNA". It matches the Rfam family "Bacterial small subunit ribosomal RNA", at positions 27 to 507 of the family's 1533-position model. The record is from RNAcentral.